UAGGGAAUAUUGGACAAUGGGCGAAAGCCUGAUCCAGCAACGCCGCGUGCGCGAUGACGGCCUUCGGGUUGUAAAGCGCUUUUAGAGGAGAUGAGAAAGGACAGUAUCCUCUGAAUAAGCCUCGGCGAACUACGUGCCAGCAGCCGCGGUAAAACGUAGGAGGCUAGCGUUAUCCGGAUUUAUUGGGCGUAAAGCGCGUGCAGGCGGUCUGACAAGUUGGAUGUGAAAGCUCCUGGCUUAACUGGGAGAGGUCGUUCAAAACUGUUAGACUAGAGAAUGGGAGAGGGAGGUGGAAUUCCGGGUGUAGUGGUGAAAUGCGUAGAUAUCCGGAGGAACACCAGUGGCGAAAGCGGCCUCCUAGACCAUUUCUGACGCUAAGACGCGAAAGCUAGGGUAGCAAACG
This 403-nucleotide ribosomal RNA is filed under the name uncultured prokaryote. Its description in RNAcentral is "bacterial SSU rRNA". It matches the Rfam family "Bacterial small subunit ribosomal RNA", at positions 355 to 774 of the family's 1533-position model. The record is from RNAcentral.